RNAcentral lists this unclassified non-coding RNA (235 nucleotides) under Hevea brasiliensis (rubber tree). The record is from RNAcentral. Lineage: Eukaryota; Viridiplantae; Streptophyta; Magnoliopsida; Malpighiales; Euphorbiaceae.
AAAGAAUGAGGUAGGAAAUUGAUUACUUUGUUAUUUGUAAGGAUAAAUGCAUACUGUGCAUUCUUGUAAAAAAAAAAAGUAAUCAAUUUCCUACCUCAUUCUUUAAUAUCAGAAUGCUAUAGUUGUUUCCAUCAAACAAUACCUAUAUCUAUGUGCUGUGUCCUGUCUGAAAUUCACUAGUCAGCUGAACAGAAAGUAAACUAUGAUAAUUUCCCCAUAUAAAGUCUUCUGUCCC